GUGGUGACUCAGUGGUAGAGCGCUUGCCUAGCAUGCAUGAGGUACUGGGUUCGAUCCUCAGCACCACA
RNAcentral lists this transfer RNA (68 nucleotides) under Marmota monax (woodchuck). It matches the Rfam family "tRNA". From Rfam's summary of the family: Transfer RNA (tRNA) molecules are approximately 80 nucleotides in length. Their secondary structure includes four short double-helical elements and three loops (D, anti-codon, and T loops). Lineage: Eukaryota; Metazoa; Chordata; Mammalia; Rodentia; Sciuridae. The record is from Rfam by way of RNAcentral.